Molecule: non-coding RNA, 71 nt
Organism: Candidatus Portnoybacteria bacterium RBG_13_40_8
Lineage: Bacteria; Candidatus Portnoyibacteriota
Source: Rfam
CGGGGUGUAGUAUAAUGGUAGUACGCUGGCUUCGGGAGUCAGUGGCCUGGGUUCAACUCCCAGCACCCCGA